AGGACGAACGUUGGCGGCGUGCCUAACACAUGCAAGUCGAACGUGGCUUAAGUUUACUUAAGUCUAGUGGCGGACGGCAGAGUAAUGCACAGGAACGUACCUCGAGGUGAGGGAUAGCCCUUCGAAAGAAGGGGUAAUACCACAUGUGCUCGCAAGAGCAAAGCCGCAAGGCGCCAUGAGAACGGCCUGUGUCCUAUCAGGUAGUUGGUGAGGUAAAGGCUCACCAAGCCUAUGACGGGUAGCUGGUCUGAGAGGAUGAUCAGCCUGAUCGGGACUGAGACACGGCCCGAACUCCUACGGGAGGCAGCAGUUGGGAAUUUUGCACAAUGGACGAAAGUCUGAUGCAGCGACGCCGCGUGGAGGAUGAAGGUCUUCGGAUCGUAAACUCCUUUACUUGGGUAAUAAUUUAAUGAAGGUACCAAGUGAAUAAGCACCGGCUAACUCCGUGCCAGCAGCCGC
RNAcentral lists this ribosomal RNA (459 nucleotides) under uncultured bacterium. Its description in RNAcentral is "SSU rRNA". It matches the Rfam family "Bacterial small subunit ribosomal RNA", at positions 26 to 518 of the family's 1533-position model. The record is from RNAcentral.